This 1741-nucleotide long non-coding RNA is filed under the name Daphnia magna. Its description in RNAcentral is "uncharacterized LOC116935427, transcript variant X1". The record is from RNAcentral. Lineage: Eukaryota; Metazoa; Arthropoda; Branchiopoda; Diplostraca; Daphniidae.
GUCAUGUUUUGCCUGACAGCUUUCAGGCCCCUGAACGAGAUGGAGUUGAGCAGGAUUCUUGUAGUCCGACAACGCUGUCGGCAGCCAUCUUAAAAAAACUCCACCCUUUUAGUGCACAGGCUCUUAUGGAAGUAUUUUUUCAAAGUAAUUUUUGUCUUAACUGGAUUACAAUUUCGACCAAAGAAAAAUAAUGAAAAAUACUACAUAAUUCAGAUUGUCAUGUGCGAGGAGGAAUUUGUGGAAAAUGCUGUAAUCCAAUUAUUCGACCUCUCCAACCUUGUUAUUGGUCUGUUACAAUACAUAGCAAAUUCUUUCUUCAGUGAGACGUACUCUGCAUUCAUUUUUUCAAGUUGUGCUGUUAACUUUUCGAUUUCUUUUUGCAACUCACUCACCAAUUGGGGUGAGUGUUCACUUGAUGACGGUUCUUCGUCGACCAGGCUGUGGCACGGUUUCGAUGUUGACAGGUCCAUUUGAGAAUCUUGAAGUUCUUCAGCAAGUAGAACUUCACUUGAAUUCAGAUUUUCAUUAACUUCAAAGGGAUGAGGACUGUGUAUCGUAAUGUUGCUAUUAUCUUCCUUCUUGGGUUGGGUAUAGUUUGCUAAAGUGUUCAUAAACAUAGCCUCUGCAACAACAAUACAAUAAUAAAUAUAUGAAAUGUCUUUGAACUUGUAAUGUAUACCUCAGUUGUAGGUAUACAACACUCUUCUUUGUAAACGAACGAAAUUCAAAAUGACUACCUUUGUUUCCCUCUAUUGCCCUAUUAUCUUCCUUCAAAUUCCAGACCGAAUAGCCACAACGCCAGCUUAACAUGCGCAGCUCAAAGCUCUACAAUGCAAAAGCUACCCCCGUUACUACUCCUGGUGUACUUCAUGGUAACGCCUACCCGUCAUAGGAGGUAUUCAAGUUUACAGGCCUUAACCAUUAAUUAGGCCAGGACAUAGCAGACCGUUCCAUGUUCAAACUUAGUCUCCAUCACCUAGGCCAACCCUCUGGCUCUUUAAAUGAGUCAUACGGUUGGCCUAGGACAACCUUUUUCAAUGCCUGAUUUUACAAGAAAUCACGGGAUGCCACCUUCUUUUGUUUCAAGCAGAUGAUCAGCUGGUUGAAGUUUGUUUUGUUCUUUUCUUUAUUGUCUAUUUCGAAACGUUAUUUAAAUGGGAAUUUUGUUUUUACUGUGUUGGUUGCGUUUUCCCUCCACAAUGGAAAUUACACUGUUGGAUACCGAAAGAAAAACAUUGGGGCAUUAUUUUAAAAAUCAACACACUUAUCAAACAGGUAUCGGAAUCUCACUGGUUUGAAAACGGGGCAACAACCAGCAACUGAACAGUCAGUUGGAAAACAACUUUCCAAGCCUACUAUACAAUUAGGGAUAUACCUUUUAAAUCUUAUUAGGACGUGCAGUACUGGACCGCUAAAGGACGUUAUAAGGACGCGCUUAAGCCACGGUCCUUUUUAAAAAUAAAUCACGUCCCUGAGAAGAAGUCUUAUUUCGAUCCAUUUCUUUAAAAGCCACGUUGCCACAAUUAACAGUGUAGCGUUGGGGUUCAAUUUUUCAAGAAUUACGUACACCACAUCAAAUAAUAAUCUAGAAUUUCUUUUUGAAUACGUAGUGAUUGGUUAACAAGAAGAAGCUCAGUCUAUGAUGCGGGAGUCCAAUGAUCGAAACUUAUAAUAGUUAUAUUUAUCUUCUGGUAUUUUGGUCAAAGAGCGCAAGGUGUAGAUUUAUUAAAGGCUAAAUUUU